This 1335-nucleotide long non-coding RNA is filed under the name Linum usitatissimum (flax). RNAcentral describes it as "long non-coding RNA (LUSI_LNC007098)". The stretch from base 129 to 234 matches the Rfam family "Small nucleolar RNA snoR99". Lineage: Eukaryota; Viridiplantae; Streptophyta; Magnoliopsida; Malpighiales; Linaceae. The record is from RNAcentral.
GGUGAACGUAGAUAAGCCAUUGUAAAUCCAUAUUCUUGAAUGGGUUUCUUAACUUCUUUGGGUGAUUGGUUGUCUUAGAGAUGAUACUUUCUUACGGGGCUUCACUUUUCUUCUUUAGCUGAAUUCAAGUGCUUGAGAAGGCAUAAAAGUUCCCAAUAUCAAUAACCAUUCUUUCACUUUGUCAGCUUUUGGUCUAUACUCAUACUAAGCUGACUUUCUCCGUCUGGUACAUAAUUAUUUUGAUAAAAUAAAUGCUCUGUAGGGUAGCUCUGCUGCAUUGGUUGAUUGUUAGUCUUAAGAGUUAAGACUUGUCUAGGGGGGCUUCACUUUUCUUCUUUAGCUGAAUUCAAGUGCUUGAGAAGGCAUAAAAGUUCCCAAUAUCAAUAACCAUUCUUUCACUUUGUCAGCUUUUGGUCUAUACUCAUACUAAGCUGACUUUCUCCGUCUGGUACAUAAUUAUUUUGAUAAAAUAAAUGCUCUGUAGGGUAGCUCUGCUGCAUUGGUUGAUUGUUAGUCUUAAGAGUUAAGACUUGUCUAGGGGGGCUUCACUUUUCUUCUUUAGCUGAAUUCAAGUGCUUGAGAAGGCAUAAAAGUUCCCAAUAUCAAUAACCAUUCUUUCACUUUGUCAGCUUUUGGUCUAUACUCAUACUAAGCUGACUUUCUCCGUCUGGUACAUAAUUAUUUUGAUAAAAUAAAUGCUCUGUAGGGUAGCUCUGCUGCAUUGGUUGAUUGUUAGUCUUAAGAGUUAAGACUUGUCUAGGGGGGCUUCACUUUUCUUCUUUAGCUGAAUUCAAGUGCUUGAGAAGGCAUAGAAGUUCCCAAUAACAAUAGCCAUUCUUUCACUUUGUCAGCUUUAGGUCUAUAAUCAUACUAAGCUGAUUUUCUCCGUCUGGUACAUUACUGUUUUGAUUAAAGAACUGCUCUGUAGUCUUCUGUUUCUAGUAUGAUUUGUUACGAAACAUCCAGCUCCAACCUACUAAUGAUGCUAAGCCAUUAGUGAGAUCUAAGUUCUUCCUUUUUUCUCCUUUUGGUACAUUACUAUUUGAUGAAAGAAAUGCUCUGUAGUGUAUGUCAAGCUGCUUGAAUAUUUUUUGAAUGUAGUCUGCACUAUCAUUGUCUGUUGCAGAACUUGCUGUUCAAUCCUACUUUUCUGCAAAACCAUUUGUAAUUUUUAAUUCUUGGAUGCUUCCUCUCUUUUUAGAUAUAGGGGUCGUCCCUAUUUGACAAAGUGUGGUUCCAUUUGUAUUGUUUAAUUCAUUUGUACAUGGCAUAUCCAUAUUAGUGUAACAUCUAAUAAAUUUCUCAUUUUAUGUUAACUUUGCUGUUUAUAGAUGC